RNAcentral lists this ribosomal RNA (446 nucleotides) under uncultured bacterium. RNAcentral's name for it is "bacterial SSU rRNA". It matches the Rfam family "Bacterial small subunit ribosomal RNA", at positions 29 to 517 of the family's 1533-position model. The record is from RNAcentral.
AGCGAACGCUGGCGGCAGGCUUAACACAUGCAAGUCGAACGGGCGUAGCAAUACGUCAGUGGCAGACGGGUGAGUAACGCGUGGGAACGUACCUUUUGGUUCGGAACAACCCAGGGAAACUUGGGCUAAUACCGGAUAAGCCCUUACGGGGAAAGAUUUAUCGCCGAAAGAUCGGCCCGCGUCUGAUUAGCUAGUUGGUGUGGUAAUGGCCUACCAAGGCGACGAUCCAUAGCUGGUCUGAGAGGAUGAUCAGCCACACUGGGACUGAGACACGGCCCAGACUCCUACGGGAGGCAGCAGUGGGGAAUAUUGGACAAUGGGCGAAAGCCUGAUCCAGCCAUGCCGCGUGAGUGAUGAAGGCCUUAAGGUUGUAAAGCUCUUUCAGUGGGGAAGAUAAUGACGGUACCCACAGAAGAAGCCCCCGGCUAACUUCGUGCCAGCCGCCG